AGGACGAACGCUGGCGGCGUGCUUAACACAUGCAAGUCGAGCGGAAAGGCCCUUCGGGGUACUCGAGCGGCGAACGGGUGAGUAACACGUGAGCAACCUGCCCUUAGCUCCGGGAUAGCUCCGGGAAACCGGAAUUAAUACCGGAUACGACCACGGCCGACAUCUGCUGUGGUGGAAAGGAUUCCGGCUAAGGAUGGGCUCGCGGCCUAUCAGCUAGUUGGUGGGUAAUAGGCCCACCAAGGCGACGACGGGUA
RNAcentral lists this ribosomal RNA (254 nucleotides) under uncultured bacterium. RNAcentral's name for it is "partial small subunit ribosomal RNA". It matches the Rfam family "Bacterial small subunit ribosomal RNA", at positions 26 to 285 of the family's 1533-position model. The record is from RNAcentral.